Non-coding RNA from Equus caballus (horse), 1329 nucleotides. The record is from RefSeq and is a predicted model, not a curated record. NCBI's taxonomy places the organism in Eukaryota, Metazoa, Chordata, Mammalia, Perissodactyla, Equidae.
ACUUAACCGCUGCGCCACCAGACUGGCCCAGGAUUAAGUGUUUAUUAAAAGUGCUCACAACAGUGCCUGGCGCUCAGUGAACGCUCACAUUUGCCAAGUCUACCAUGGCAACCCCAGGACUCCAAAACAGAACAAUAGAAAACCUAUCUCACUGGGACUUUUCUUUUUAGAACAAGGAUGAGAAACACAAGAGGAAACGACUGCCAAAGGGCUCGAGCUGCUCCUCAGGUGGAGGGACUCUUGAAGCCAGCAGCCACGCUCGCGGCAUCAGUCCAUGUCUGUUUAUAAAAGUUACAUGCCCAGUUUCUGCUAAGAGAGUACUCUGGCCCCUGUGGGGGGCCAGCCCAUGGAUGGGACGGAAACUCAACGCUCCAACAGCCUCAGGCCACUAAUAUUCAGUCCAAGAAGCUGACUGCCUGGUUCCACAGUCCUGAGGCUCAGAUGAUGUCUUCCUGGGAGACCUGACUGCAUGGACAGUACAAGCUAGCCAAAGGCUACAUACAUCUUGUCCUUUGUUACUUCUCACUGAAAACUGGUAAGUUGGAAUUCUGGUUAAAAAACCCUGUAAUUAGUGGCUGAAACUUUCACCUAAAAUGAGUUUGCCAAAGCAAUCUGCCCCAGAAAUGGCCAGCAGCAGCAGGAUGAUGUUUCAUUAAUGCAUAAACUUCCCACUGACUCUUUCCAUCCUGUUCCUGUGGUGCUAGCAAGCAACUCCGCUAUACAGGCGUCUCUCUCCACACCUGGUGGUUGUACGUGUCUCGCCUCUCAAAUGAACUUCUCUAAGGCAGACUGGGCCCACUUCCCUCUUUUCCCCUGUACUUGGCAAAGCUUGAGGUACUGAUCCCAGCCCUCUUUCAGCUGCGAUCGUGAGGACACAGCUUCCCAUCAGCCCUUUCUACCUGAAGCUCUGUGGCCCAACCCCCUCUGCCACGGGGAACCCACUCCAAAGAUGGACCAUGGAGGCUGGCAGCUGUCAUCCACUCACCUCUCAACUCAUACUUUCAGGGAGUUAAAACUUAUAGCAGGAUGCACUCAAUAUCCCAUCAUCUGCCAAGAUCAUCUCCCAUAGCUAGAGAGUAAGUGGCCAUCUGAGGGAAAGGAGGAGGCCUGCACCCCCGAGGCAUGGGUGCGGAGUGCCCUGGGCUCCUCAUCAGGCAGGAAUCACGCGGCAGCGUGUGGAGCACUUGUUAAUCCGUAUGAUUUAUUAGCUGUACAGCAGUAGAUCCUCCUCCCCAGCUCUCAACCCCAUCACAUAUUUUAUUACAGGUCUCUUGUUGGCAUCCUAAAAUAAUGAAAAAUAUCACACAGUACAGCUAAGUACAAAAUGCA